Molecule: unclassified non-coding RNA, 205 nt
Filed under: Hevea brasiliensis (rubber tree)
Lineage: Eukaryota; Viridiplantae; Streptophyta; Magnoliopsida; Malpighiales; Euphorbiaceae
Source: RNAcentral
UGAAGCUCUUCUUCUCAAUUAAACGCCAUUGCAGCUCUUUCAAUCUCAAAGCCACCCAAAUUCCUCGAACCAAAGAAUUCAAAAUCCUCCAAUACUGUAAGUCUGGUGCUCUCAUUGAUGCACUUCACCUUCUUAACUCUCUAGACUCUAAGAAGCUCUCUAACAAGCCAUUUUUAUAUGCAUCUCUUUUGCAAACUAGUACCAA